UCUCCUACGGGAGGCAGCAGUGGGGAAUAUUGCACAAUGGGCGAAAGCCUGAUGCAGCGACGCCGCGUGAGCGAAGAAGUAUUUCGGUAUGUAAAGCUCUAUCAGCAGGGAAGAUAAUGACGGUACCUGACKAAAAAGCACCGGCUAAAUACGUGCCAGCACCCGCGGU
RNAcentral lists this ribosomal RNA (169 nucleotides) under uncultured bacterium. RNAcentral describes it as "partial 16S ribosomal RNA". It matches the Rfam family "Bacterial small subunit ribosomal RNA", at positions 335 to 521 of the family's 1533-position model. The record is from RNAcentral.